This is a long non-coding RNA of Columba livia (rock pigeon), 379 nucleotides long. RefSeq lists it as uncharacterized. The transcript is spliced from 2 exons. NCBI's taxonomy places the organism in Eukaryota, Metazoa, Chordata, Aves, Columbiformes, Columbidae. The record is from RefSeq and is a predicted model, not a curated record.
GUUUUAAUUUCACUUAGUUUAGAGUAUUCUGGUGCUACCUUUUUUUUUUCAGGGACUUGGCCUCCUACCAGCAUGUUGUCAGAAGAGCACUGAUGGCUUACUUGGGUUUUCUUUAGAUCCAACAAGAAUAGGAGAGUGGAUAAUGUGUAUGCUUUGUAAAGCACAAAAUGUUGUGCCGAACAAACUUUUCUUUGCUCGAAACACUUUGCAUCCUCUUGUUUUAACCGAACUGGACAAAGUACAUGACUUAGAAUAGAUACAUUUUCAAUGACUUGGCUUCACACAAAACUCAGGGUAAUGGAAGGUGUAUAUGAUAUCCUUAAUUUCUCCUAUUGAAAACAGUGUGGAUUCUAUUAAAAUAUUUACAAGAAACAAUAAA